Molecule: long non-coding RNA, 1013 nt
Organism: Amphibalanus amphitrite
Lineage: Eukaryota; Metazoa; Arthropoda; Thecostraca; Balanomorpha; Balanidae
Exons: 3
Source: RefSeq, a predicted model, not a curated record
CCAUCUGUCAUCGUGAAUGGGGCCGUGCCGACGCGUCAGACGGGACGAACGGGGGAAGUCGGUCCAGAGUCACUGCGCCGCGCGGUUGUGUGAGCAUUAGCAAGCCGUGGGCUAGGUACCGCUCCAGGUCAGACCAUGGUUGGCACUGAAGAGUGCGGCGACACUACAGAGCUGUGAACGAAGACGGUGAACGGCGAGAUGUGGUGACCGCUUGACGGACCUGUGCCCAAAGUCGUGAUCUACCGCUGGGGUCAGUGCGUGAGAAGCUGGACUCGGCACCAACGGAGGACGCAGCUCGACGAGGAAGCUAUGCUGUGUUGAGGGACGUCUGCCGGUUACGACCGGAAGGUUUCCGACGGGACUUGGCAGAACCCACAACAGCAGUAUGGACCCGGCGUGGAGUUAAUGCGUAAUUGCUCGCAUGAGCAACCGAAGAGCGACUUCCAGCCGAAGCUGUCGCAGAAUUCCUGGAGAUGCGCUGGGACAUGGAUCAUAGCAAGGUGGCUCCCAGCGGCAGCUGACCGCUGAGAUGUGUCUGAAACAGCCAGAAGGAAGACUCGAGUUGUGGAUCCAGGGCAGUAUGAACGGAAGGCGGGACCAGCUGUAGGGAGACUACAGCAAAGCCGUCGUUCUAAAGCUGCUGAACAGACUCCUACUGCAGAGGAAAAACUGGGGUUCGACGUGUUAGAUUUGGGGUUAGACCGGUUACCAGUGCUCGUGUUCGUCAACAGUUGUUUGUCACUGCUGUGCUGCUGCUGUAUGUCAUGUUUGCCACCUGCUAAGCGUUCACAAUGUAUUUUGAGUGAACAAUAACUUUUUUUAGUGUUUGUCUUGAUUUGUAACGAGUAAAUCAAGUAUGUUAACCUUUCAUCAAAUGAAGGACUCCACAUAAAAAUAGUAUAGGCUGUGGUGGUACAGACACAUACCAUGCUUGGCCGACUGUUGUGUAUUGAUCUAGUCGUUGAAGCGUCCUGAAAGUCUGGAAAUAAACAGGCAUGGCCAAAUGGAUUGGU